AACUUCCUUACCUUUCCUCUUCUUAGUUUCCUUAGAAGAGGAUGCCAAAUGAGCACCUUCAGUCUUAUCUAGCUUUAUCCUUUCCUCUUCUUGCACACAGUGUGAAAUGAGCUCGUUAGGAGUCCAUUUCUCCUUCAGGCAGUUGUAACUGACCUUAAUCUGAUUAAAGUGUACAGGAAGAGAUAUCAAAACAAAGUACACAAGCAGUUC
This 210-nucleotide long non-coding RNA is filed under the name Nicotiana benthamiana. Its description in RNAcentral is "long non-coding RNA (NBEN_LNC000671)". Lineage: Eukaryota; Viridiplantae; Streptophyta; Magnoliopsida; Solanales; Solanaceae. The record is from RNAcentral.